This 518-nucleotide ribosomal RNA is filed under the name uncultured bacterium. Its description in RNAcentral is "bacterial SSU rRNA". It matches the Rfam family "Bacterial small subunit ribosomal RNA", at positions 8 to 524 of the family's 1533-position model. The record is from RNAcentral.
AGAGUUUGAUCCUGGCUCAGGACGAACGCUGGCGGCGUGCCUAACACAUGCAAGUCGAGCGAAGCUUGAAAUUUUCGGUUUCGGCUGGAGGUUUUAAGACUGAGCGGCGAACGGGUGAGUAACACGUGGGUGAUCUACCCAGGAGACCGGGAUAACAGUUUGAAAGGGCUGCUAAUACCGGAUGAUACUGCUAUUUUAAGGGGUAGUAGUUAAAGUGUUAUGUAGCGCUUCUGGAUGAGCCCGCGUCCCAUUAGCUAGUUGGUGGGGUAAUGGCCUACCAAGGCUGCGAUGGGUAGCCGGUCUGAGAGGAUGGUCGGCCACACUGGGACUGAGAUACGGCCCAGACUCCUACGGGAGGCAGCAGUGGGGAAUUUUGCGCAAUGGGGGCGACCCUGACGCAGCGACGCCGUGUGGGUGAAGAAGGCCUUCGGGUCGUAAAGCUCUGUCAUAGGGGAAGAGGAGAAGACGGUACCCUAUGAGGAAGCCCCGGCUAACUACGUGCCAGCAGCCGCGGUAAU